UUUGCGGGCCAUUGCUCAUACCAUAGUACAUACCAGCGUCUCAACCUGUGUUUCCUCAGAUGUCUCGUUUCCUGCUUAGUCCCACGUGUCUCUCAGUGUUAUGUGGAUUACACCCUAUUGUUUGGAUAUAUGGACUCUCACCUGUUUAACUGUUUGGAUUACUGUUUUAACAUUUUUGGACUGCCAACUUCACCACACCUAGUGAUGGCUGACAGAUUCCUGUCUCUGCAUGCUGUGACUGUCAAAUAAAAAGAGGCAAAACACCAAAAGAUGUCUUCACGACCCAAACCAAAUAGACCCAAGGACUAAAUGGACCCAAUUCAAAAUGUGGUUGACCCGGACGGACUCAAACAGAGAACACAAACACUGGCAGCAGCAGUAUGAUGGGCCACCAAUUAGCAAGCAGCAAAGGUCAAAAAGAGUAAUGGGACAUCAUUUUCGCUACACCGCACACUCUGUCUUGGGUCGGACCUCGGUUACCAAGAAUCACGUGGACCUGUGAAGACAGCUAACGCUUAAACCAGUUCCAGUCAAGUCUUGUAUUUUUACUUUUACUGUAAUGGAAAACAGACGUAAUCUAAUUCUUAUAUAAAUGACUUUUCACAUAAACAUAAUAAAGGUUUAAUGCAGCAGUGGUGACAUAUUUGCCAGUGCUGCCGUUGUCGAUGGAA
This is a long non-coding RNA of Micropterus salmoides (largemouth bass), 671 nucleotides long. RefSeq lists it as uncharacterized. Lineage: Eukaryota; Metazoa; Chordata; Actinopteri; Centrarchiformes; Centrarchidae. The transcript is spliced from 2 exons. The record is from RefSeq and is a predicted model, not a curated record.